RNAcentral lists this transfer RNA (67 nucleotides) under Anthaxia sp. ANT01. RNAcentral's name for it is "tRNA-Ser". It matches the Rfam family "tRNA". From Rfam's summary of the family: Transfer RNA (tRNA) molecules are approximately 80 nucleotides in length. The record is from RNAcentral. Lineage: Eukaryota; Metazoa; Arthropoda; Insecta; Coleoptera; Buprestidae.
AGUUAAUGAACUUGAACAAGUAUAUGCCUUGAAAGCAUAAAAUAGAAGUAAAUCCUUCUAUUAACUU